AGUCCGAUUUGUUCCGGUUGCACUGGACACAGAGACCAGACUGUCAGAGGGCCAGCAGCGAGUCCUCCGAGGAGGGUGGAGCAAGGAUUCUUCUCCCUAUUUCACUGAUGGGAAGACUGAGGAACCAAGCGAUUCAUCCCAGCAGCAGAGCAGGCUGGUAGAGCCCCUGUGCCCCAUCACAUUGGAGGGUCUCAACUGAGUCCCACCAGAGGGAUGGACUCCAGAAAGAUGCAUUUCCCACAACAGAUCUGACUUCCCGCCCCCGGAAACGCUCCCACAGGAG
Vicugna pacos (alpaca) is the source of this 283-nucleotide non-coding RNA. Lineage: Eukaryota; Metazoa; Chordata; Mammalia; Artiodactyla; Camelidae. The record is from RefSeq and is a predicted model, not a curated record.